GACAAGGCCCAAUCCCAUGAAGCCCAAGGAUCCGCUUUGUGCAGACUUAGAUUGGGUAAGGUGGAUCAUCAAUGCCAUCAAAACUGGGAAGUCUUAUAACCAUCGAGACAAUCGGACCAAGGAAGCAUCAACGACAACAAGUUGUGGGCUUUUAGAUUGAUCCUAAAAAAGAUGAAAUGGUGUGUCCAAGAUGAUGUACAAAGGGGAGAU
RNAcentral lists this long non-coding RNA (210 nucleotides) under Carica papaya (papaya). RNAcentral's name for it is "long non-coding RNA (CPAP_LNC008194)". The record is from RNAcentral. Lineage: Eukaryota; Viridiplantae; Streptophyta; Magnoliopsida; Brassicales; Caricaceae.